Molecule: long non-coding RNA, 763 nt
Organism: Hippocampus zosterae (dwarf seahorse)
Lineage: Eukaryota; Metazoa; Chordata; Actinopteri; Syngnathiformes; Syngnathidae
Exons: 3
Source: RefSeq, a predicted model, not a curated record
UCCAGCCGCUAGAUGGCAGACGUCGCACAAAGGUAGUACAACCGCACAUAGAAAGAACGAUAUUCUCCGAGUGACGUAACGGUGCCAAAACAUUUUAUCAAAUAGACUUCUAGACAGGCGUGCUGACUUUACAUAUACAUGUGGCCUCCUGGACUGCUACCCACGGGGACAAAAUGUUGUGUGCAUCAACCUUGACUAUGAGUCAAUGGUAGCUGUGUGCUCUUUUUGUUCCUUUUUAUUAUUUUAUUUUUUUUGGCCAAGUAGGAGUUUGGUUUGCAAUUUUUGGUUUAUUUCAUUUCAUUUAUUUGCAGGGAAAAAGAUGUCAUUUUCUUGGCAUCGAAAUUCAACGAGGACGGAGUUGAUUACGGUCUGAUAAGUCUGCCAUCUAAUCCACCAGUCAUCUGAAUCCCACGUCUCACCGACACUAGGAUGAAAGAGCAUCUCACCGGAGCCGAGGCGCCUGUGUGCGUGAUCAGGAGGGGAAGGGAGAAGGCCUUAGCGCCAAAUGUCAGUGCUUUUCCUGUGAAGCAAGCCUCAUCAAAGGAGGAUUAGUGUCGGCCUGAUGGCUUCACCGGACGAGCAAGUUGUGAUGGGGUAAGCUCAUGCACGACGAAAACUUAAAGAUAUUCAGCCUUUCAUGUACGCUAGCCCAUACCCGCGACCUGAAUGUACACAGCGUUAUCAAGCUCACAAAUAGUUACGUUAAAUAGUCUGGCACGCACUUGAUGGGCUUCACCUCUGUUAUUGUGACUCACUCAAAGCC